Molecule: long non-coding RNA, 691 nt
Organism: Belonocnema kinseyi
Lineage: Eukaryota; Metazoa; Arthropoda; Insecta; Hymenoptera; Cynipidae
Exons: 3
Source: RefSeq, a predicted model, not a curated record
GGAAUCGUUUAGAUCAAGGUAACAAGAUUAAUUUUCUUUUGCAAAAUGUAAAAUUACAAAUAUUAGGAUUUAAAAGAGUUAGAGUUGUAUUUCUCUGAGAUAUCACCAUAACUAUUGGCUAAACUUAUAGUCGAAGGCAUACGAGAAAAAAGAUGAAAUAUUGGAACAUAUAAAGAAAGAAGAUUCUAAGGAAAAAUAUUCUAAAGAAUAAGCUAAGUGGUUAACUGGGGGAAAGCAGCAGAUCUUUGAUUCUGCAUUUCUAAAUGCAUAAUUUGCUUGUUGAAGAUAACAAAAAUACAGACUUGCAGCUAACAAUUGCAAGAUUUUAAUUGCGAAACCCAGAAGAACGAAACUCGCGUCUUAAGUCCAGAAUUAUGGGUGUAUGAUUCUACUAAGAUACUUUGUAUCCCAAGAAUAUUUAUCGUUUAGGAGCAAUCUGAAAAGUCUAUUUUGAUCUUUUUAGAGAUAUGAAAUAAACAAGUCAAAAGAAAGGGGUAUCGUCCAUACUACUAUCAAUACGAAGCGGUCAUUCAACGAAAUUUUCAUAAAUGACGAGACCAUAAAAGCGGCGAUGUACCAUGAAUUAAUGCGAUAGAAUAUAAAGAUUAAAAAGCAAUUUCUGCAGCAUACUUCGUUUUAUAUGGUCGAAGGAGAAUUAAUAUUUGUGAAAAUCGUGAAAUGUAUGAUAACU